This 310-nucleotide long non-coding RNA is filed under the name Zea mays. Its description in RNAcentral is "long non-coding RNA (ZMAY_LNC005632)". Lineage: Eukaryota; Viridiplantae; Streptophyta; Magnoliopsida; Poales; Poaceae. The record is from RNAcentral.
CAUAACUAAAGCAGUGAGGAGGCUUUCAGAAAUCUAGCUUGAAAAACUUUUCCAAUAAAACAUAUGCUUGCAUUACGAGUUUUUUUGUGAAAGUUUUCCAAGUGAUCUUGAGGAUGUUAAUCCCUAUACAACAACAAUGUUGCACUGAAGCUUCUCCCCCACAAUGCUUCUCCUCAUGCUUCAAAUGCUUGAGCAGCAGCAACAUACAAUUUAAUAAGCAAAAAUAACAAUUAGAUAAUGCAGGAUGUAUUAAAGAAACUACUGAUUUAGUAGUUGACCAUUACUUGUCUAACACAACCCAGCUUGCAUG